AUACACAGAAGUCCCAAGGUCAAGAAGCUCUCUCUGGACUGCAUUCUUUGUGGAGUGGAGACCGGCUCCCUAAACAGAAAGGAGGAGUUAAUGGAUGUUGGGUGCCAAUGGAGAGCCUGCUGCAGAAGCUCUGGGAUGACGCCUCUGAAAAAAAAUGGCAUUUAAACUUAAGAUGAGUGAGGGUCAGCAAGGAGCAAGGAGGAUGUACCUUCAGGCAGAGAGAGCCACGUGUGUGGCCUGUCUGUGCCCCGGGUUACAAGAUGUUCGUGCCAUUUCUCAUUUACUGCAUUGACCCCAAAAGGGAUCAGCGGAGAGGGAUGUGGCACGCGAGAAGCCACUGUCCCCUGGGAAAGAAGGGAGAAUGGUGCUCUCAACGCUGGGCCUGAAGGAUUGUGUGAGACACAGCGGUCUCAGCAGUCCCGCCUGCCGUCCCCAUGGUUGUAAAGCCCAGGUGAACUCUGUCAGCAACCUCAGCCUCCUCUGGAGGGAGGACCAGCGCACACGGCCUCCGUGACACCCACUGUAGAGGGAGCUUCAGUGGUUGCAGCUCCCAGGUCCGACCUGACUGGACCCACAGAGCUCUGGCUUCCCUCGCUGCUUCCUGGGGGGCCUGAAACACAUCCUAGAGAGACAGUGGCGCUAAUGUCCUGUGGAAGUGCCUCUGACCAUUGAGAGCCAGGAGCCAGGAGCCAGGAAGAAGCCAGCAGAUGAUUGCUCUCCCUUCCUGCCCACCCAGGAGCUGUUCCGAGAUCCAAGGAUAACAGGCCUUAAUUAAGAAGUAGCGCGUGAGCUUGGCCUCAGGCUGCUUUCUGGAGAACCCAGGCGACGGUGAGACCUUCUGACCCUUUACCUUCCAUCCUUCAGUCUGCUGCGCGCUGUUACUUCGCUUCAGGUUCCUGGGGAAGCAGUGCGGCCUCAGCGAGGGAGGAGUUUCAGGAGGGUGAGGUUAUCUUUCGGGAACUCCAAUGGCAGGGAUCACGCGAUCACCUCAAACUCAGGUGUCGUGCUUUCCGGUCGAUGCCUGUGCCAAAAGUUCGUUCUUCAAGACGAGUUCUUGUCCAAGUUACAUGGCCUAUUUUCUAAAAAAUCAAAUCAAGCACACUUCACAGCACCCUCACGGGUAGAACGCGUGGCUUAUUUAUUUUUAUGUGGUAUGUUCAUCUCUCAAUACCUGUGUUUUCACCAGAGUAAACUCAGUCUUGUGAAGUUAAAUUUCAUGCAUGUCAUAAAUGUUUCCCCAUCUGAGCAAAUAUUGAAAUGAGCAAUUCUGCUCUUUGACAGAGAGUGUUAAAUGUGUUUGGUCAUCAAAUUCGACUUAGUAUUCCCCAAGGUAUCCUAAUGUUUCUGGCAGUAUCUCAAAGCUCUCACGAAUCUCCCAGCCAACUAUUGCUUUGAAGGGCAGUUUCUUCACUUAGCAGGAAGUUUUUCUAGUUAAUUCACCUUACUUAGAGUUCCAUAGUUCCCUCUUUUAAUAUUUCCUACAUGUUUAAGCACAGCUAAAAAAGUGACUAAGAAACGUUUUAAAAGUUGUACUUGGUUAAGAAGCCUUGCAACUCUCAUGCUGGGGAACUGAUAAUUUGUGAUUCUAAUUUUAACUGGAUUAAUCUCAUUCAGAGUCUUUCUAUGCAUAUUACACAUCUUAGUGCCCAACUUCAUGAGGGAUUUAGCAACUGCUAUAUGUGGAAAAUGCUGAGAAUUGAGAUGCUUUUGCUGUUGAAGAAACAUUGCUCAUGUUCCAAAAUGCAGUUGAAACCCAAGUCAAUGUUAUAUGCAAUUUCAUUUUUAUUUUGAAAAUAUUGUUGCAGAAACAUAGUUUCUUUGGGAUUCUUUACCCCAAAUCACGGACACUGCUACUCUCAAAAGCAGUACGGUUUCUCGCUCUGCUGAGGGCCAGUCACGGUUCAGCUUCGGAGUGUCACCACGUUCCCCUUGGGGCUGUCUGGGGACACGGCUGGUUUGCCUCCCCUUGCUGGUUACACCACUUUCCUUUCUGCAUUGGUUUUCACUGGGCGCCUGCCAUUUCUGAUGUUCCAGGAAGUCUGCUGCUUCUACCUGACUCUAAUUCAAUUUGUUAAUAUACAACAUUGAUCUGGUUUAUGGACACAGAGAGCAUCCUGUGUAAUUUCAUCUAUGUUUGCCAAAAAGUGACUGUACCAGAUAAGAGCCUUACCAUCAACCUCAGGCUGCCCAGAAAUCCUUUUGUGCUCUGCCCUUUCAUUUUAAUAGUCUGUAGCUGGGGAAUGUUGGUUGGGCAUAUAAUCAUCACUUCUGUGGCGGGGGCCCUGUUUCUGUCUUUCAUCUCUGGUAGUGUAAUAGCCACUCUACUUCUUUUUUUUUUUUUUUAGGGCCGCACUGCAGCAUAUGGAAGUUCCCAGGCUAGGAAUUGAAUCAAAACUGUGGCCACCAGUCUAUGCCACAGCCACAGCUACAGCCACGUGGGAUCCAAGCCCCGCCUGCGACCUACACCACAGCUCAUGGCAAUGCCAGAUCCUUCACCCCCUGAGCGAGGCCGGGGAUCAAAGCCACAUCCUCAUGGAUGCUGGUUGGGUUUGUUACCGCUACGCCGAAAUAGGAACUCCACUCUGCCAUUUUUUAUCUUUUUAAAAUUUGCUUUCCAUCUUUGCAUAUUUGAAGACAUUUUGCUUUGCUUUCUUCUUUCCUCUGGAAGUGCUCCAGCUCCUUCAGGGGUCUCUUCCAUAAUCUAAUUUCCUUGGCUUUGCCAGAACCAACAGGGAAUAUUUCCUGGUGUCCGCCCUGAGCAGAAGGUCUAUGUGCCAGACUGUAUUGAACAAGUUUUUUCCCCCAGAACUCUUUAGGUUGAGGAGACAUUGGUGUCCAUAAUUUUGCAAAAAUUGCCACAGGAAUCCCCCUUUUCAAGACAUCUCGCCGCCUCUCCUGUUCAGAAACUGCUUCUUUCCCACUCAACACAUUUUCCAGAGAUUGGAGAGAACCGUUUCUCUGUCCAUAUCAGCUUUUGUCUAAAGAUGAACAAACAAAACAUGUACCAGUAACAGAGCCAGAACUGGACCUUUGCCUUCGUCUGAUUUGCUGUUUGAAACAUGGCUUUAUGACUCCGCCAUCACCAGGACUUUAGCGGCCAGAAUUAGAAAUGAAGCCAAACAAAUUACUUUGACAGUUUUAAUGAUAAGUGCAACUCAUGUCAGCUAAGCUAGUCAGUGUUUGUGAUGGUCGGAAUAAUCUUUUUUUUCAUUGAAGUAUAGUUGAUUUACAAUGUCGUGUUGAUUUCAGGUGUACAGAACAGUGAUUCAGUUAUACAUACUUUUUCAGAUUCUUUUUCCUUAUAGGUCAUUACACAAUAUUGAGUAUAGUGUCCUGUGUUAUACGGUAGAUCCUGUUGGUUAUCUAUUUUAUGUAUAAUAAUGUGUAUAUGUUAACUCUGACCUCCUAAUUAUCUUCCUCCCCACCUUUGGGGACCAUAAAUUUGUUAUCUAUGUCUGUGGAUCUGUUUCCAUUUAGUAAAUAAGUUCAUUUGUAUCUUUUUUUUUUAAGAUUCCACAUAUAAGUGAUAUCAUAUGAUAUUUGUCUUUGUUUGGCUUACUUCACCUAGUAUGAUAAUCUCUAGGUCCAUCCAUGUUGCUGCAAAUAGCAUUAUCUUGUUCUUUUUUAUGGCUGAGUAGUAUGCCAUUGUGUAUAUGUACCACAUCUCCUUAAUCCAUUCAUCUGUCAAGGGACAUUUGGGUUGUUUCCUUAUUCUUAAAAGUCAGACUCAAGAUCACAAAGUUGCCAAGUAAGUGAACCAGAACUGGAAUCCAGAUCGUCUGAGUAAAGGCAUCUAUGACAGUUUGUCAUGUCCCUCUACUUUCUUCUGAAUGUUCUCAGGAGAAAUUUUUAAAGUUAUGUAGACCAGGAGUUAUAUAUGCCUCUACCAUACAUGUUUCAUGGGUCAAAGUGAAGCAAAGAAAGAAUGUCUUUCCUGAAAGCAAGUAGAUGGCUUCACAGUAGAGCAACGGAGAGAGAAACACCAUGACAUGCUUCAUUUUUUGCAAGUAUCUUUCUUUUGCUGUUCUCAAGUAGGUAAGAAUCAGGUGACAAAUUCGUUUAAACAGUUCCCACUGAGAUUUGUGAACCAAAAAAGGCAGACAGGAAAAUAAACUGGACAGACAAUC
This 4127-nucleotide long non-coding RNA is filed under the name Sus scrofa (pig). Its description in RNAcentral is "lncRNA (ENSSSCG00005036266.1)". The record is from RNAcentral. Lineage: Eukaryota; Metazoa; Chordata; Mammalia; Artiodactyla; Suidae.